UUUUUCAUUUUUAUGUGACAGAACUCGACUUUCAUUUUCAAGCUUCCUACGUACCCUUCUAAAAAAGAGAACAAGUCAUAACAUAGUUCAAAUAUGUUUGUUUGUUUGUACAUUUUUUCUUUUUUGUUUUGUUUUGGUGUCCUAACUUUUGCUUGAGACGCCCUUUCAGGUUUUUAACUUAACAAACUUUUUUUCUUUUUUUUUUGUGUCCUAACUUUUGCUUGAGCCGCCCUUUCAGGCUUUCAACUUAACAAACAUUUUUUUUUUAUGCCGUACGCAGUUUUGACUCUUACGGGCUAGGAGCAUGUCUUCUUCUCAGGUGUAGCAUUGCUUUAAAUGUGGCAAAGCUUUCUUUAAGUCGUUAAUGGUUGCUUGCCCCCCAUUCUCGAGUGGUGGAACUUCCUUAACAUCUUUUCCCUCGACCUCUUCAAUUGUGACAUGGCAGACAGCUCGUUAGCUCAAGCAUUGACCAAUGUGUAUGAUUGUGCGUCAUUUCACCUUAAGCUGACCAUUCGAACUCACGUCUAAUGUUGAACGACAUUUCAUGCGUGAAGGGAUUAGACUACAAAUUCUAUCAUCCUUGGCUAGGUCAACGAGUCUCUUUCCUUCUAAUAUUAGUUGCUUUUCCCUAUAAGGCUCAUUUACAACUUUGAGUUUCUCCAAAGCUGACUUUCGUGGGGGAGAAUUGGUUGCGCUUUCUUGUCCAGCAAGGUUGGUCAACCUGUUAAACACAGAACCUCGAGAGGCUGGUUCAUCGAGUCGAUUGAAGACGGGAGUCCGGGCUUGACCCUUGAUUCAAUCAAACAUAAAAGUUCGUGGCUUUUAAACCUUAAACUCUUUCUUAUGUGCCGACUAUGUCAUCUUCGUGGCUGCUUUGGGACGGGUUUACUCAGUGUUGCAAUGAGAACUUUCUUUUUGUAUCUUCUUCUUUGC
Molecule: long non-coding RNA, 933 nt
Filed under: Malus domestica (apple)
Lineage: Eukaryota; Viridiplantae; Streptophyta; Magnoliopsida; Rosales; Rosaceae
Description: long non-coding RNA (MDOM_LNC018508)
Source: RNAcentral